This 592-nucleotide ribosomal RNA is filed under the name uncultured bacterium. RNAcentral's name for it is "bacterial SSU rRNA". It matches the Rfam family "Bacterial small subunit ribosomal RNA", at positions 334 to 917 of the family's 1533-position model. The record is from RNAcentral.
UACUCCUACGGGAGGCAGCAGUGGGGAAUCUUCCGCAAUGGACGAAAGUCUGACGGAGCAACGCCGCGUGAGUGAUGACGGCCUUCGGGUUGUAAAGCUCUGUUAAUCGGGACGAAAGGCCUUCUUGCGAAUAGUUAGAAGGAUUGACGGUACCGGAAUAGAAAGCCACGGCUAACUACGUGCCAGCAGCCGCGGUAAUACGUAGGUGGCAAGCGUUGUCCGGAAUUAUUGGGCGUAAAGCGCGCGCAGGCGGAUUGGUCAGUCUGUCUUAAAAGUUCGGGGCUUAACCCCGUGAUGGGAUGGAAACUGCCAAUCUAGAGUAUCGGAGAGGAAAGUGGAAUUCCUAGUGUAGCGGUGAAAUGCGUAGAUAUUAGGAAGAACACCAGUGGCGAAGGCGACUUUCUGGACGAAAACUGACGCUGAGGCGCGAAAGCCAGGGGAGCGAACGGGAUUAGAUACCCCGGUAGUCCUGGCCGUAAACGAUGGGUACUAGGUGUAGGAGGUAUCGACCCCUUCUGUGCCGGAGUUAACGCAAUAAGUACCCCGCCUGGGGAGUACGACCGCAAGGUUGAAACUCAAAGGAAUUGACGGA